AUCCCUAAUGGUAACGCCAUGUUUUGAUCAACAGCUGACAACUGCCGCCGCUGCUUCUCUUUCUGGAGGAGGUUACACCGACCAUCACCACCACUACCACCACCAACCGCUGUCACCGCUGGUUAAGAAGAACGUGAGAAGAGGUCGAGGAGUUGAAGAGACUGAUCGGUGUGACAACAGGAGAGGAGCUUUAACGUUACUAGUUCUUCAGACCAUCAUUGCGAACUUGGGACGACCGCUACCCACCGAAUGGUAGGACAUCCGAGACUGCUACUCCAAUCACUGUAAUUUUGAUUGUAGCCAGGGUUUGGACGUUGUUGAGACAAAUGGAUAAUAGGCAUUACAUUUGGGUUAGCUGAAUGAGUACUUUCAUUCUUUUCAGGAAUACUGGAUUUUGAUGGUUUAGGAUUUGUUUGAUGCAAAAAAUGAGUAGAAUCAGUCAUCAAAAAGAUAAAUAUGGCUUAGAUUAUGAGCUUUCCAGAGAUAACUGUAAUGAAGGAACUGCUGCUCGGACAAGACCUUUUAGCUUUGAGGAGAUUAUGCUAAGAAGGCAAAACAAGAAACCGACUUCAGAUGCCAAAGAGGGAACUGGAGAGCUAGGGAAGCUAUCAGUAUCAGGAAAAGAUAAUGUUGAAAGUACUCAUUCUGAAGCGGCUGGAGGUUACAAAUGGAGUAAGGAUGCUAUUGCUAUGAAUGCUUCAGAGGAUACUGCCAAGCGAAUCUCAAAAAAUCAAGAAGGAAAUACACCCAUAAAGAAAAGUAAGCUCGUUAAAGAUAAGGAUGAUGGGAGUCAUGACAUAGAAAACAAAUUGUCAGCAAGAUCCAACAAUAAUAUGGGCAGUAGAUCCAAAGGGGACAAGAAUGAAAAGCAGAGUCAACUCAAAAGCAGAAGUUAUGACCGAAUGAGGGAUUAUUUUGAAGAUGAAUCUGAGAAGAGGCAUUCCAAGAAUACAACAGUGAAGGACAAAUAUUCAGACAGAGAUAGAGGAAAAUCUGAAAGAGAAACCAAAAGAAAGCAACGGACAGGAGAUGAUGAGAAGAAAAGGUCAGAUAUAAAUGGGAGUGAUGUAAAGAAAUAUGAUUCUGGCAAAUGGCAUGAUUCAUCAGAACCUUCAGAAAGAAAGGGCAGGAAAGAGUCAUCUCAGUCCCGUUAUGAUGAAGGCAGGCAGAAACGAAGGAGGUCAAGGAGUCGUGAACAUGAUAGGGAUAGAGACAGGAGGUCUCAUUCACUUUCACCCAGGUCACACAAGCGUUCAUCUUAUCAUGGGCAGGAGCAUGGGGAUUCUUCAUUUAAUUCUUCCAAGGACAGGCCAAGAAAACAGCAUUCUGAUGCAGAUAGGCAUAGGACAUCAAACAAUGGAUAUCCAAGUAGCCACCAUCGUCGACAUGGUGGUUCUACAAGUGGGCUUGGUGGCUAUUCACCCCGGAAGCGAAGAACUGAGGCAGCUGCUAAGACUCCUUCGCCAACUGUCAGGUCACCAGAGAGGAAAACUGUUGGAUGGGAUCUUCCACCUAAGGAUACAGACAAUGCAUCUGCUGGUUCCUUGCUAGUUAAUUUUCAGUCUUCAAAUCAAACUGUAACAACAAAUAUAGAACUGCCAAAUGUUGUUCAAGCAACAUUAAAUGUGGCAAGAGCCCUUUCUGGAGUUUCUCCAAAUACAUUAUCAAUGACCAAAACUGAAUCCAUUGACUCAAUUCAACUUACACAAGCAACCCGGCCUAUGAGAAGACUUUAUGUAGAAAAUGUACCGGCCUCAGCCUCUGAUAAAGCUGUAAUUGAAUGUGUAAAUGGUUUUCUGCUGUCUUCAGGUGUUAACCAUAUCCAAGGAACUCAUCCAUGCAUAAGUUGUAUUAUAAACAAAGAAAAGGGCCAUGCUAUUUUGGAAUUUCUUACAGCAGAAGAUGCCACAGCAGCUCUUUCUUUUGAUGGAAGAUCUUUCUCAGGCUCUAUUCUAAAAAUCAGACGCCCCAAAGACUUUGUUGAAGCAGCAACUGGAGUCCCACAGAAACCAGUGGCCACCUCAGCUGAUGCCAUAUCUGACAUUGUAAAUGAUUCCCCACACAAGAUAUUCAUUGGUGGAAUUUCAAGGGAUCUCUCAUCUGAUAUGCUUAUGGAGAUCGCUGGUGCCUUUGGACAUCUGAAGGCAUUCUGCAUUCAUGUUAAUGAAGAUUUGAAGGAACAAAUUGCUUUUCUGGAGUAUGUAGACAAGUCAAUCACCCUUAAGGCAUGUGCUGGACUGAAUGGAAUGAAGUUGGGUGGACAGAUCCUUACUGUAGUUCAGGCUGUGCCUGAUGCAUCUUCGGAGCAGGAAAAUACUGAGAAUCCACCAUCCUAUGAGAUUCCUGAUCAUGCAAAGCCACUGCUUGACAAACCCACACAAGUCCUGAAGCUCAAAAAUGUGUUCAAUCAAGAAGAGCUUGCAUCUCUUUCUGGACCUGAACUCGAAGAAACUUUGGAAGAUAUACGGUUGGAGUGUGCCAGGUUUGGGACUGUCAAGUCUGUUAAUAUUGUCAAGGAUAGAAGCAAUUAUGCCUUUGCUCUUGGAACAUCUGAGGUUACUAGUCAGAAUGAUUCAAGGGACCUGCUAUACCCAGAAGAUGAUGACCACAUCAAGGAGAUACCAAGGAUGGGAGAUUCCCUUCACCUAAGCUCUGAAGACAAUAGCAAACCAGAGCACCCAAAUGAUGCCAAAGAAUUUUCAGGUGGUGGUGGAACUGCAGAAGAGAACAGCACUAGUGUUGAUAUGCCAGUGCAGGAUCUUGCAAAGGAUGGAUCAAGUGAACCAGGCCAUCCUGAUAAGAGAGCAGGCCUUGUAGAAUUAAUCUGUCAUCUCAAUGCAGAUGGGGCUCUCCAAGAACCAGCUGUACAGCUGGAUGCAACUGAAGGUCAAUUGGUCCAUAAUAAAGAGGACAUUGAUGUUCUUUGGGCCAAGGAGUCUGGCAUGGGAACCAAUUUGAUGGUUGAAGAGUUCAGAGCAGAGGAAACUAAUGACAAGAAGGAUGUUUCCAUUGAAUUGGAUGCUACUGCUACUCAAAUUGAAUCAGGUGUCACAGACAAAGGUGAUAAAAAGCAGGAGGCUAGUGAUCUUAGCUACAUUUUUGAACCUGGAUGCAUUCUUGUGGAGUAUGCAAGAACAGAAGCUUCUUGCAUGGCAGCACAUUGUCUCCAUAGGCGGCCUUUUGGGAAUCGGAAUGUAGAGGUAGGUUAUGUAGCUCAUGAUCUCUAUCUGGCAAUGUUUCCAAAAUGAGCACAUCCACAAUAGGUGCUACUUCGUGACAUCACUGACAUGAGGUUUGAUUGGUCCACCUUGUUCCCGGAGAGUUCCCUCUUUUUGUUGGGUGUCUUGUUACGUGUUCUUAACAAAAAGUGAAAGCUUGUCAGUUGGCCUGACUUCUCUUUGGGAGUGUGGUCUGAUCUCAGAUAACCGGUUGCUGACUGGGUUCUAGAGCUGAUCUUGUGGAAAAUAUUAGCUGAGAGCUCGAGGUCCUUUUAGCUGUUGUGAUAUAAUCAAUAUUCACGACGUUGAAUGCAUCGCCACUUUCUUUGUAUCCUUAUAAUGAUAAUUUCUCGGGUUCCCAUGAUCGAUCACAACGUACGAGUUCACCGGGAGCAGCGUAUGAACUCACAGGCAGCAUUUUCACUGUUUUGUUUUCCCAUUAUUUCAUCGGCAUUGUAGCCAACGUUUUCACACUACCUCCCCUGUGAAUUAAGCGGACAAGUUGAUUCAGAAAACGAAUCAAUAAAAGCACUGAAAUCAAAAGCGAAGAACCCCUUGUGAGUUGUGACGUUUGGUGAUUGCCACUUUUAUCUGCAAUGAUUUAGUUUGGUCAAUGCAAAUUUUAUGAGAA
Molecule: non-coding RNA, 3849 nt
Organism: Nelumbo nucifera (sacred lotus)
Lineage: Eukaryota; Viridiplantae; Streptophyta; Magnoliopsida; Proteales; Nelumbonaceae
Source: RefSeq, a predicted model, not a curated record